UACGUAGGAGACGAGCGUUUGUCCGGAGUUACUGGGCGUAAGGGUGCGCAGGUGGCGGCGCGCGUGGGGGGUGAAUCGCCCGGCUUAACUGGGCGGGGGGCCUUCCAGACGGCGUGGCUUGAGCAGCGGAGGGGGACGUGGAAUUCCGGGUGGAGCGGUGAAAUGCGUAGAGAUCCGGAGGAACACCGACGGCGCAGGCAGCGUCCUGGCCGCUUGCUGACACUGAGGCACGAAAGGCUGGGGGAGCAAACAGGA
RNAcentral lists this ribosomal RNA (255 nucleotides) under uncultured bacterium. Its description in RNAcentral is "partial 16S ribosomal RNA". It matches the Rfam family "Bacterial small subunit ribosomal RNA", at positions 524 to 777 of the family's 1533-position model. The record is from RNAcentral.